RNAcentral lists this transfer RNA (87 nucleotides) under bacterium. Its description in RNAcentral is "tRNA-Tyr". It matches the Rfam family "tRNA". From Rfam's summary of the family: Transfer RNA (tRNA) molecules are approximately 80 nucleotides in length. Their secondary structure includes four short double-helical elements and three loops (D, anti-codon, and T loops). Further hydrogen bonds mediate the characteristic L-shaped molecular structure. tRNAs have two regions of fundamental functional importance: the anti-codon, which is responsible for specific mRNA codon recognition, and the 3' end, to which the tRNAs corresponding amino acid is attached (by aminoacyl-tRNA synthetases). tRNAs cope with the degeneracy of the genetic code in two manners: having more than one tRNA (with a specific anti-codon) for a particular amino acid; and 'wobble' base-pairing, i.e. permitting non-standard base-pairing at the 3rd anti-codon position. The record is from RNAcentral.
GCGCAGGUAGACCCGUAGGGGGCGGGGGCAGACUGUAAAUCUGCUGUCUUUUAGGCCUCGUGAGUUCGACUCUCACCCUGCGCACCA